CCACUGCUGACCGCAGCACGCCCCUCACAGACCGUGCUGGGCGAUGGCUUCCUCCAGCCUGCUCCAGGGGCUGCCCCCGACCCCCCAGCACCGCUCAUGGACACAGGCAGCACCAGGGCGGCCGGAGACAGGCCCCCCAGUGCCCCCGGCCGUGCACCGGAGGUGGGACCUUCAGGGCCACCCUUGCCCUCGGGCCUGCGAGACCCAGAGUGCAGGCCCGUGGACAAGGACAGAAAGGUCUGCAGGGAGCCACUGGUAGACGGCCCAGCUCCUGCAGAUGCACCUCGGGAGCCCUGCUCAGCCCAGGACCCGCACCCCCAGGUCUCCACUGCCAGCAGCACCCUGGGCCCCCACUCGCCAGAGCCACUGGGGGUCUGCAGGAACCCCCCGCCCCCCUGCUCCCCAAUGCUGGAGGCCAGCGAUGAUGAGGCCCUGUUGGUCUGUUGACCGCUGGGCUCGCUGGUGACCGCCACAGCCCCGCUUUGUAACCAGGGAAUACACAGUCAUUUCU
Homo sapiens (human) is the source of this 511-nucleotide long non-coding RNA. The record is from Ensembl. NCBI's taxonomy places the organism in Eukaryota, Metazoa, Chordata, Mammalia, Primates, Hominidae.